GAAAGUAAAAGUCGUAACAAGGUUUCCGUAGGUGAACCUGCGGAAGGAUCAUUAAUGAGUUGUCAUGGGGUUCGAUGCUGGCAGCCAAUUUUUGGAUGCAUGUGCUUGCCCUAACAAUCAUCUCCCAAACACCUGUGCACAUUUUUGAGGGAGUCUUGAGUUGGUUGCCGCUCUUGGGUGAUUUUCUCACAUUCCCUUAAAUCAUUAUACGCUAUUAACAAUGUUGAACGUGCUCUGUGCCGCAAGGCUAUUAAUAUAAUACAACUUUUAACAACGGAUCUCUUGGCUCUC
RNAcentral lists this unclassified non-coding RNA (291 nucleotides) under plant metagenome. RNAcentral's name for it is "partial contains small subunit ribosomal RNA, internal transcribed spacer 1, and 5.8S ribosomal RNA". The stretch from base 1 to 54 matches the Rfam family "Eukaryotic small subunit ribosomal RNA", at positions 1778 to 1831 of the family's 1831-position model. The record is from RNAcentral.